UUGCAGUUAAAAAGCUCGUAGUCGGAUUACAGUAUUAGGCCCUUCUUCCAAUACGGUUGCUAGUGGUUUUUACUUCCUUAACAGAAUCUUUCAUCUCAUUAAUUUGGGGUGUUUGGGGCCUGUUUCUUUUACUUUGAGAAAAUUAGAGUGUUCAAAGCGGGUUUUCGCCUGGAUAUUACUCUUGGAAUAAUAAUAUAGGACUUUGGUUCUUUUUUGUUGGUGACUUAGAACCGAAGUAAUGAUUGAUAGGGACAGUUGGGGUCAUUCGUACUAUGAAGCGAGAGGUGAAAUUCAUGGACCUUUGUAUGACGAACUACUGCGAAAGCAUUUGAUUAGGAUGUUCCCGUUGAUCAAGAACGAAAGUUGGGGGAUCGAAGACGAUCAGAUACCGUCGUAGUCUCAACCAUAAACUAUGCCAGCUAGGGAUUGGAGGAAGAUACAUUUUUACGUCUCCUUCAGCACCUUAUGAGAAAUCAAAGCAUUUGGGUUCCGGGGGGAGUAUGGUCGCAAGGCUGAAAACUUAAA
RNAcentral lists this ribosomal RNA (525 nucleotides) under uncultured marine eukaryote. RNAcentral's name for it is "SSU rRNA". It matches the Rfam family "Eukaryotic small subunit ribosomal RNA", at positions 613 to 1148 of the family's 1831-position model. The record is from RNAcentral.